UUGACCCGGCGAUGUCCGAAUGGGGAAACCCAGUGCAAUCCGUUGCACUAUCGUUAACUGAAUACAUAGGUUAACGAGGCGAACCGGGGGAACUGAAACAUCUAAGUACCCCGAGGAAAAGAAAUCAACCGAGAUUCCCCCAGUAGCGGCGAGCGAACGGGGAGCAGCCCGGAGUCUGAAUCAGCUUGUGUGUUAGUGGAACGGUCUGGAAAGUCCGACGGUACAGGGUGAUAGUCCCGUACACGAAAGCACACAUGCUGUGAACUCGAAGAGUAGGGCGGGACACGUGGUAUCCUGUCUGAAUAUGGGGGGACCAUCCUCCAAGGCUAAAUACUCCUGACUGACCGAUAGUGAACCAGUACCGUGAGGGAAAGGCGAAAAGAACCCCGGCGAGGGGAGUGAAAAAGAACCUGAAACCGUGUACGUACAAGCAGUGGGAGCCUCUUUAUGGGGUGACUGCGUACCUUUUGUAUAAUGGGUCAGCGACUUAUAUUCUGUAGCAAGGUUAACCGUAUAGGGGAGCCGAAGGGAAACCGAGUCUUAACUGGGCGUUAAGUUGCAGGGUAUAGACCCGAAACCCGGUGAUCUAGCCAUGGGCAGGUUGAAGGUUGGGUAACACUAACUGGAGGACCGAACCGACUAAUGUUGAAAAAUUAGCGGAUGACCUGUGGCUGGGGGUGAAAGGCCAAUCAAACCGGGAGAUAGCUGGUUCUCCCCGAAAGCUAUUUAGGUAGCGCCUCGUGAACUCAUCUUCGGGGGUAGAGCACUGUUUCGGCUAGGGGGCCAUCCCGGCUUACCAACCCGAUGCAAACUACGAAUACCGAAGAAUGUUAUCACGGGAGACACACGGCGGGUGCUAACGUCCGUCGUGAAGAGGGAAACAACCCAGACCGCCAGCUAAGGUCCCAAAGUCAUGGUUAAGUGGGAAACGAUGUGGGAAGGCACAGACAGCCAGGAUGUUGGCUUAGAAGCAGCCAUCAUUUAAAGAAAGCGUAAUAGCUCACUGGUCGAGUCGGCCUGCGCGGAAGAUGUAACGGGGCUAAACCAUGCACCGAAGCUGCGGCAGCGACACUAUGUGUUGUUGGGUAGGGGAGCGUUCUGUAAGCCGUUGAAGGUGUGCUGUGAGGCAUGCUGGAGGUAUCAGAAGUGCGAAUGCUGACAUAAGUAACGAUAAAGCGGGUGAAAAGCCCGCUCGCCGGAAGACCAAGGGUUCCUGUCCAACGUUAAUCGGGGCAGGGUGAGUCGACCCCUAAGGCGAGGCCGAAAGGCGUAGUCGAUGGGAAACAGGUUAAUAUUCCUGUACUUGGUGUUACUGCGAAGGGGGGACGGAGAAGGCUAUGUCAGCCGGGCGACGGUUGUCCCGGUUUAAGCAUGUAGGCGGAGGUUCCAGGUAAAUCCGGUACCUUAUUAACGCUGAGGUGUGAUGACGAGGCACUACGGUGCUGAAGUGAUAAAUGCCCUGCUUCCAGGAAAAGCCUCUAAGCAUCAGGUAACACGAAAUCGUACCCCAAACCGACACAGGUGGUCAGGUAGAGAAUACCAAGGCGCUUGAGAGAACUCGGGUGAAGGAACUAGGCAAAAUGGUGCCGUAACUUCGGGAGAAGGCACGCUGAUGUGUAGGUGAAGCCCCUGCGGGCGGAGCUGAAAUCAGUCGAAGAUACCAGCUGGCUGCAACUGUUUAUUAAAAACACAGCACUGUGCAAACACGAAAGUGGACGUAUACGGUGUGACGCCUGCCCGGUGCCGGAAGGUUAAUUGAUGGGGUUAGCGGCAACGCGAAGCUCUUGAUCGAAGCCCCGGUAAACGGCGGCCGUAACUAUAACGGUCCUAAGGUAGCGAAAUUCCUUGUCGGGUAAGUUCCGACCUGCACGAAUGGCGUAAUGAUGGCCAGGCUGUCUCCACCCGAGACUCAGUGAAAUUGAACUCGCUGUGAAGAUGCAGUGUACCCGCGGCAAGACGGAAAGACCCCGUGAACCUUUACUAUAGCUUGACACUGAACACUGGUCCUUGAUGUGUAGGAUAGGUGGGAGGCUUUGAAGCGUGGACGCCAGUCUGCGUGGAGCCAACCUUGAAAUACCACCCUUUAAUGGCUGGUGUUCUAACGUAGACCCGUAAUCCGGGUUGCGGACAGUGUCUGGUGGGUAGUUUGACUGGGGCGGUCUCCUCCCAAAGAGUAACGGAGGAGCACGAAGGUUGGCUAAUCCUGGUCGGACAUCAGGAGGUUAGUGCAAUGGCAUAAGCCAGCUUGACUGCGAGCGUGACGGCGCGAGCAGGUGCGAAAGCAGGUCAUAGUGAUCCGGUGGUUCUGAAUGGAAGGGCCAUCGCUCAACGGAUAAAAGGUACUCCGGGGAUAACAGGCUGAUACCGCCCAAGAGUUCAUAUCGACGGCGGUGUUUGGCACCUCGAUGUCGGCUCAUCACAUCCUGGGGCUGAAGUAGGUCCCAAGGGUAUGGCUGUUCGCCAUUUAAAGUGGUACGCGAGCUGGGUUUAGAACGUCGUGAGACAGUUCGGUCCCUAUCUGCCGUGGGCGCUGGAGAAUUGAGGGGGGCUGCUCCUAGUACGAGAGGACCGGAGUGGACGCAUCACUGGUGUUCGGGUUGUCAUGCCAAUGGCACUGCCCGGUAGCUAAAUGCGGAAGAGAUAAGUGCUGAAAGCAUCUAAGCACGAAACUUGCCCCGAGAUGAGUUCUCCCUGAGACUUUAAGUCUCCUGAAGGAACGUUGAAGACGACGACGUUGAUAGGUCGGGUGUGUAAGCGCAGCGAUGCGUUGAGCUAACCGAUACUAAUGAACCGUGAGGCUUAACCUU
This 2807-nucleotide ribosomal RNA is filed under the name Enterobacter hormaechei. Its description in RNAcentral is "partial 23S ribosomal RNA". It matches the Rfam family "Bacterial large subunit ribosomal RNA". Lineage: Bacteria; Pseudomonadati; Pseudomonadota; Gammaproteobacteria; Enterobacterales; Enterobacteriaceae. The record is from RNAcentral.